This 248-nucleotide long non-coding RNA is filed under the name Sorghum bicolor (sorghum). RNAcentral describes it as "long non-coding RNA (SBIC_LNC013142)". The record is from RNAcentral. Lineage: Eukaryota; Viridiplantae; Streptophyta; Magnoliopsida; Poales; Poaceae.
GCUCCCAGCGCAGACGGUGCUGAAAAACACCUGUAGAAAUAUGUUACCAACCGCCUGUAUAGUGUGCUCAUGUACUAGUGCCACCAGCCUAAUCCUAGGGCAACGACGAGCUCCGCCAUGAAGUCCCCAUUGCCAGCCUUGUCCAACUGCCAUCUCACGCUGCCCCGGUGGGCAACACCUCCGACAUGGUCUCACCUGCCUCCACCGUCAUGUCACAGUCGCCGCUCCCUAAAUCCCCUUCUAAUCCC